GAUGAAGAACGUAGCGAAAUGCGAUAAGUAAUGUGAAUUGCAGAAUUCAGUGAAUCAUCGAAUCUUUGAACGCACCUUGCGCCCUUUGGCUAUUCUGAAGGGCAUGCCUGUUUGAGUAUCAUGAACACCUCAACUCUCAUGGUUUGCCAUGAUGAGCUUGGACUUUGGGGGUCUUGCUGGCCUACGGUCAGCUCCUCUCAAAUGAAUCAGCUUGCCAGUGUUUGGUAGAGUCGCAGGUGUGAUAACUAUCUACGCUUGUGGUUUUCUGCCAGAUAACCUUCAGUGAUGGAGGUUCGCUGGAGCUUAUAAAUGUCUCUCCCCAGUGAGUACAGCUUUUUGAUCGUUUGAUCUCAAAUCAGGUAGGACUACCCGCUGAACUUAAGCAUAUCAAAAGCGGAGGA
This 401-nucleotide unclassified non-coding RNA is filed under the name soil metagenome. Its description in RNAcentral is "partial contains 5.8S ribosomal RNA, internal transcribed spacer 2, and large subunit ribosomal RNA". The stretch from base 1 to 121 matches the Rfam family "5.8S ribosomal RNA", at positions 35 to 154 of the family's 154-position model. The record is from RNAcentral.